This 464-nucleotide ribosomal RNA is filed under the name Vreelandella stevensii. RNAcentral describes it as "partial 16S ribosomal RNA". It matches the Rfam family "Bacterial small subunit ribosomal RNA", at positions 338 to 795 of the family's 1533-position model. The record is from RNAcentral. Lineage: Bacteria; Pseudomonadati; Pseudomonadota; Gammaproteobacteria; Oceanospirillales; Halomonadaceae.
CCUACGGGGAGCAGCAGUGGGGAAUAUUGGACAAUGGGCGAAAGCCUGAUCCAGCCAUGCCGCGUGUGUGAAGAAGGCCUUCGGGUUGUAAAGCACUUUCAGUGGGGAAGAAAGCCUUGGGGCUAAUACCCUCGAGGAAGGACAUCACCCACAGAAGAAGCACCGGCUAACUCCGUGCCAGCAGCCGCGGUAAUACGGAGGGUGCGAGCGUUAAUCGGAAUUACUGGGCGUAAAGCGCGCGUAGGCGGUCUGAUAAGCCGGUUGUGAAAGCCCCGGGCUCAACCUGGGAACGGCAUCCGGAACUGUCAGGCUAGAGUGCAGGAGAGGAAGGUAGAAUUCCCGGUGUAGCGGUGAAAUGCGUAGAGAUCGGGAGGAAUACCAGUGGCGAAGGCGGCCUUCUGGACUGACACUGACGCUGAGGUGCGAAAGCGUGGGUAGCAAACAGGAUUAGUACCCGAGUAGUC